RNAcentral lists this ribosomal RNA (494 nucleotides) under uncultured bacterium. RNAcentral's name for it is "partial 16S ribosomal RNA". It matches the Rfam family "Bacterial small subunit ribosomal RNA", at positions 29 to 507 of the family's 1533-position model. The record is from RNAcentral.
ACGAACGCUGGCGGCGUGCCUCAUACAUGCAAGUAGAACGCUGAAGGAGGAGCUUGCUUCUCUGGAUGAGUUGCGAACGGGUGAGUAACGCGUAGGUAACCUGCCUGGUAGCGGGGGAUAACUAUUGGAAACGAUAGCUAAUACCGCAUAAGAGUAGAUGUUGCAUGACAUUUGCUUAAAAGGUGCAAUUGCAUCACUACCAGAUGGACCUGCGUUGUAUUAGCUAGUUGGUGGGGUAACGGCUCACCAAGGCGACGAUACAUAGCCGACCUGAGAGGGUGAUCGGCCACACUGGGACUGAGACACGGCCCAGACUCCUACGGGAGGCAGCAGUAGGGAAUCUUCGGCAAUGGACGGAAGUCUGACCGAGCAACGCCGCGUGAGUGAAGAAGGGUUUCGGAUCGUAAAGCUCUGUUGUAAGAGAAGAACGAGUGUGAGAGUGGAAAGUUCACACUGUGACGGUAUCUGACCAGAAAGGGACGGCUAACUACGUG